This 593-nucleotide ribosomal RNA is filed under the name Meloidogyne enterolobii. RNAcentral's name for it is "SSU rRNA". It matches the Rfam family "Eukaryotic small subunit ribosomal RNA", at positions 994 to 1611 of the family's 1831-position model. The record is from RNAcentral. Lineage: Eukaryota; Metazoa; Nematoda; Chromadorea; Rhabditida; Meloidogynidae.
CCUUUUUUUGGCGGUCGAGAUACCCCCCUAUUUCUGACUGUAAACGACGCCAAAAGCGAUCGGCUGAGGGAAAUUAUAUCGCCGGGGUGGGGAGCCCCCGGGAAAAGAAUGUCUUCCGGUUCCGGGGGACGUAUGGUUGCAAAGCUGAAACUUAAGGGAAUUGAGGGAAGGGCACCACCAGGAGUGGAGCCUGCGGCUUAAUUUGACUCAACACGGGGAAACUCACCCGGCCCGGACACUGUGAGGAUUGACAGAUUGAUAGCUUUUUCUUGAUUCAGUGGAUGGUGGUGCAUGGCCGUUCUUAGUUCGUGGAGUGAUUUGUCUGGUUUAUUCCGAUAACGAGCGAGACUCUAACCUACUAAAUAGCUGGUACAUACUCUUAGUGUAUACAGCUUCUUAGAGGGAUUUGCGGUGUUCAGCCGAAAGAAAUUGAGCAAUAACAGGUCUGUGAUGCCCUUAGAUGUCCGGGGCUGCACGCGCGCUACACUGGCAAAAUCAACGUGCUUGUCCUACCCCGAAAGGGGCGGGUAAACCAUUGAAAAUUUGCCGUGAUUGGGAUCGGAAAUUGCAAUUAUUUCCUGUGAACGAGGAAU